This 271-nucleotide ribosomal RNA is filed under the name uncultured prokaryote. RNAcentral describes it as "partial 16S ribosomal RNA". It matches the Rfam family "Bacterial small subunit ribosomal RNA", at positions 524 to 794 of the family's 1533-position model. The record is from RNAcentral.
CACGGAGGAUCCGAGCGUUCUCCGGAUUUAUUGGGUUUAAAGGGUGCGCAGGCGGGAGAUUAAGUCGGCGGUGAAAUUUUGCAGCUCAACUGUAAAAGUGCCUUCGAAACUGGUUUCCUUGAGUGUAGAUGAAGUAGGCGGAAUUUGUGGUGUAGCGGUGAAAUGCUUAGAUAUCACGAGGAACUCCGAUUGCGCAGGCAGCUUACUAAACUACUACUGACGCUCAGGCACGAAGGCGUGGGGAUCAAACAGGAUUAGAUACCCUGGUAGU